GACGGAGGAUGCAAGUGUUAUCCGGAAUCACUGGGCGUAAAGCGUCUGUAGGUGGUUUAAUAAGUCAACUGUUAAAUCUUGAGGCUCAACCUCAAAAUCGCAGUCGAAACUAUUAGGCUAGAGUAUAGUAGGGGUAAAGGGAAUUUCCAGUGGAGCGGUGAAAUGCGUAGAGAUUGGAAAGAACACCGACGGCGAAGGCACUUUACUGGGCUAUUACUAACACUCAGAGACGAAAGCUAGGGUAGCAAAUGGG
This 253-nucleotide ribosomal RNA is filed under the name uncultured bacterium. Its description in RNAcentral is "partial 16S ribosomal RNA". It matches the Rfam family "Bacterial small subunit ribosomal RNA", at positions 524 to 776 of the family's 1533-position model. The record is from RNAcentral.